UUACAAAUAAAAUAAUAUAUUAAGUCUGCACUUCACUUCUCAUCUAUAAUCACAUGAUGAUAUAGCAGGAGGUUGCUAUAUUGCCGGACAGAGGCUUUGUAUCUGAUCGUUGGUCUUGAUGGGAGACGCAUCC
Molecule: regulatory RNA element, 133 nt
Rfam family: Listeria sRNA rli62
Source: Rfam